RNAcentral lists this ribosomal RNA (252 nucleotides) under uncultured bacterium. RNAcentral's name for it is "partial 16S ribosomal RNA". It matches the Rfam family "Bacterial small subunit ribosomal RNA", at positions 524 to 776 of the family's 1533-position model. The record is from RNAcentral.
UACGGGGGGGCAAGCGUUGUUCGGAAUUACUGGGCGUAAAGGGCUCGUAGGCGGCCAACUCAGUCGGACGUGAAAUCCCUCGGCUUAACCGGGGAACUGCUUCCGAUACUGGAUGGCUUGAGUGUGGGAGAGGGAUGCGGAAUUCCAGGUGUAGCGGUGAAAUGCGUAGAUAUCUGGAGGAACACCGGUGGCGAAGGCGGCAUCCUGGACUACUACUGACGCUGAGGAGCGAAAGCCAGGGGAGCAAACGGG